Molecule: ribosomal RNA, 234 nt
Filed under: uncultured bacterium
Lineage: Bacteria
Description: partial 16S ribosomal RNA
Rfam family: Bacterial small subunit ribosomal RNA
Source: RNAcentral
GAUCCUGGCUCAGGAUGAACGCUAGCUACAGGCUUAACACAUGCAAGUCGAGGGUCAGCGUGGUCUUAGCUUGCUAAGGCCGAUGGCGACCGGCGCACGGGUGAGUAACGCGUAUCCAACCUGCCUUACACUCUUGGACAGCCUUCUGAAAGGGAGAUUAAUACAAGAUGUUAUCAUGAGUAAGCAUUUUCGCAUGAUUAAAGGUUUACCGGUGUAAGAUGGGGAUGCGUUCCA